AAAAUAUAAAGUCGGAAGCUCCGACCAAAAUUAGUCGUAAAAUUUCUACUACAAGUUGCAUGCGGUCAUUACAUAUUUUUCGUGUCAUUAUUUAAAAUUCAUUCGGUACAGUCUUCUUCCAAUUCUCCGUUCCUUAUCGGCCUUAUAUAUUCACAGACCGAUUAUUCUUAGGAUGUUCUUGGCUAGCCAAACCAUUUCUAAGAUCAGGCCGCAUGCGUCGCGGCGCCUCGCCAAUGCGUCUCAACUGGCGUCUAACGCUAACUCAAGCGACUGUAUCCCUCCAAUAACGUUUCGAACCGCGAACGCUGCUGUUUGGCUUGAUAGUGCCGCGCCAUACUGUUAUCCAGAUAAACGCAAGAAUAAAGAUAAGGAUUAAAGAAAAAAUAAUCCAGAAAAAGGGAAGAAAGUGAAAAGUUCGCGCUCGGUUCGCUGUCGACUGUAUCGCGAAAACGCGAAUAUCGCGCGUUUCCUCCAACCAUACAUAGGCACUACAAUUAACGAAAUAGAAUCGUGCGCAGCAUAUGAUCGCAACCAGUAAGUUGUGCGAUCGAUGGAGCUAUCGCAGAUUAUACGAGAUCGCGUGAGAACAGAUAAUCGUUUCGCACCUAAACUCAUAGCGCUGGAAAUAGAUCACUGCGUGCAAAUGUUAAUAACGAGCAAUUUUCAUUACUGCGCGCGGUCACGUGAAUGAAUUCACAAAAUGAAAAUAUAGAAAUAGGGAUGACACAUUAAACACCUCGUACGAAAAAACUUACUUUCAACGAUAAAUUAAAAAAUAUAUUAGGUGUUGGAAUUAAUUCGUAGCGUUUUACAAGUGAU
This is a long non-coding RNA of Acromyrmex echinatior (Panamanian leafcutter ant), 819 nucleotides long. NCBI's taxonomy places the organism in Eukaryota, Metazoa, Arthropoda, Insecta, Hymenoptera, Formicidae. The record is from RefSeq and is a predicted model, not a curated record.